RNAcentral lists this long non-coding RNA (1013 nucleotides) under Homo sapiens (human). Its description in RNAcentral is "HSALNT0336290". Lineage: Eukaryota; Metazoa; Chordata; Mammalia; Primates; Hominidae. The record is from RNAcentral.
GAAAUUCUGAAAUUUUAAUGCACUUGAAUGCUUACUUUCUAAGUAUAGGUGCUGAGAGCAUGGUUUAAGGGGUUGAUAGCAUAUGGGGCCAAGGCAAAAAAUGCUUGAAAUGAAAGAAAUGGGAUGCAUGAUUUGGUUAUAAAUUAAAUUCAAAAUUGAGAUAAAUAUAAUGACCAAAGGCGAAGAGAACUUUCAACGUUUUAGCAAUUGAAUUACUUAGUUCCAGGACACAGAUGACUACAUAAGUUAUAAGGCGAAGGUAAACAUGGAUAUAUUCUUGUCUGAUCCAGCUCACUUAAUGUCUCAACACCCCCGUGACGGCGUCCCUGCUCUGUGAUGCAGUAGAGAAAGACAACUGACCUCAGAGCCAGGAAACUUGGUUGUGGUUCCAGUUCUAGAAACCCUGUGUGGGAACUUGGGGAAGUGACUCAACUUCUAGCUCUGGUUUCUUCCUCUUCAAUGAUGUUAGCAGCAUGAUGAUUUCCAGGCUCUUCACAUUCUAACAGUCUAGAACUCUGUGAAACUUCCUGCUGUCUCAACAAGUUUCCACGCUAGGAGACUUUGGGCUUAUCAUUUAACAUUUCCAUGCUUUCAUAAAUUAGAUGAAUAACCUCCGGACUGCCUGACAUAAUGUUCAUCAUGGAAGUACUUUUCCCCUUUGGAGAUCACUGGAAACAGCUUCUGGACCACAAAUGGGGUGAACUACUGUAUCGAGAAAGGAGAGAGUAAGACUUGAGAGCUAUCUUUUUAGCUCAGGGUGCAGAAGAAGAAAGUGAGGUUCAGAGAGACUAGGACAUUUGCCCAAGGUCGCACAGCUGGUGGAAAGCAGAGAUGGGGUUUGGAUCCAGGCCUCACUGAUUCCAAAGCUCUCUUUUACAUCUGUAUACACGACACUGCAACUUUAAAAUAAAGAGUAUGAAUUCAGAGGUGAAGGAAAUGGACACUUUUAUUUUUUGAGUGCCUCCCAUGUGCAAAAAAAUCACAUAAAUUGUCUCAUUUAGGGCUGGGCGUGG